Molecule: ribosomal RNA, 629 nt
Filed under: uncultured bacterium
Lineage: Bacteria
Description: bacterial SSU rRNA
Rfam family: Bacterial small subunit ribosomal RNA
Source: RNAcentral
AACGAACGCUGGCGGCGUGCCUAACACAUGCAAGUCGAACGGGAAAGCCCGCAAGGGUGAGUACAGUGGCGCACGGGUGCGUAACACGUGGGUAAUCUGCCCAGAAGCCCGGAAUAACUCCCCGAAAGGGGUGCUAAUGCCGGAUGAGACCACGGGGACUUCGGUUCCUGGGGGAAAAGGUGGCCUCUGUAUACAAGCUAUCACUUCUGGAUGAGCCCGCGGCCCAUCAGCUAGUUGGCGGGGUAAUGGCCCACCAAGGCUACGACGGGUAGCUGGUCUGAGAGGACGAUCAGCCACACUGGAACUGAGACACGGUCCAGACUCCUACGGGAGGCAGCAGUGGGGAAUCUUGCGCAAUGGGCGAAAGCCUGACGCAGCAACGCCGCGUGUGUGAUGAAGGUCUUCGGAUCGUAAAGCACUGUCGGGAGGGACGAAUAAGGGCCGGGUGAACAAUCCGGUCCGACGACGGUACCUCCAAAGGAAGCACCGGCUAACUCUGUGCCAGCAGCCGCGGUAAUACAGAGGGUGCUAGCGUUGUUCGGAAUUAUUGGGCGUAAAGCGCGUGUAGGCGGCCGGCCAAGUCGGAUGUGAAAGCCCUCGGCUUAACCGAGGAAGUGCGUUCGAUACUA